CGGCGGACGGCUGAGUAACACGUAGGAACGUACCCCAAAGUGAGGGAUAAGCACCAGAAAUGGUGUCUAAUACCGCAUGUGCUCUAAGGAGUAAAGCUUUAUGCGCUUUGGGAGCGGCCUGCGCCUGAUUAGUUUGUUGGUGAGGUAAUGGCUCACCAAGACUACGAUCAGUAGCUGGUCUGAGAGGAUGAUCAGCCAGACUGGGACUGAGAACGGCCCAGACUCCUACGGGAGGCAGCAGUAGGGAAUUUUCCACAAUGGACGAAAGUCUGAUGGAGCAACGCCGCGUGCAGGAUGAAUGCCUUUGGGUUGUAAACUGCUUUUAUCUGUGACGAAUAUGACGGUAGCAGAUGAAUAAGGAUCGGCUAACUCCGUGCCAGCAGCCGCGGUCAUACGGAGGAUCCAAGCGUUAUCCGGAAUUACUGGGCGUAAAGAGUUG
RNAcentral lists this ribosomal RNA (439 nucleotides) under uncultured Candidatus Saccharibacteria bacterium. Its description in RNAcentral is "bacterial SSU rRNA". It matches the Rfam family "Bacterial small subunit ribosomal RNA", at positions 96 to 570 of the family's 1533-position model. The record is from RNAcentral. Lineage: Bacteria; Candidatus Saccharimonadota.